GCCCUUAUAGCUCAGUGGUAGAGCGCUUGACUUGUAAUCAAGAGGUCCGUGGUUCAAUCCCGCGUGGGGGCA
RNAcentral lists this transfer RNA (72 nucleotides) under Aspergillus niger. RNAcentral describes it as "tRNA-Thr". It matches the Rfam family "tRNA". Rfam says of the family: Transfer RNA (tRNA) molecules are approximately 80 nucleotides in length. RNAcentral also lists the same sequence under 3 other names. Lineage: Eukaryota; Fungi; Ascomycota; Eurotiomycetes; Eurotiales; Aspergillaceae. The record is from RNAcentral.